RNAcentral lists this ribosomal RNA (488 nucleotides) under uncultured bacterium. Its description in RNAcentral is "bacterial SSU rRNA". It matches the Rfam family "Bacterial small subunit ribosomal RNA", at positions 28 to 507 of the family's 1533-position model. The record is from RNAcentral.
GAUGAACGCUAGCUACAGGCUUAACACAUGCAAGUCGAGGGGCAGCAUGAACUUAGCUUGCUAAGUUUGAUGGCGACCGGCGCACGGGUGAGUAACACGUAUCCAACCUUCCGUUUACUCAGGGAUAGCCUUUCGAAAGAAAGAUUAAUACCUGAUAGUAUGGUGAGAUUGCAUGAUAGCACCAUUAAAGAUUUAUUGGUAAACGAUGGGGAUGCGUUCCAUUAGGUAGUAGGCGGGGUAACGGCCCACCUAGCCGACGAUGGAUAGGGGUUCUGAGAGGAAGGUCCCCCACAUUGGAACUGAGACACGGUCCAAACUCCUACGGGAGGCAGCAGUGAGGAAUAUUGGUCAAUGGACGAGAGUCUGAACCAGCCAAGUAGCGUGAAGGAUGAAGGUCCUACGGAUUGUAAACUCUUUAUAAGGGAAUAAACCCUCCCACGUGUGGGAGCUUGUAUGUACCUUAUGAAUAAGCAUCGGCUAACUCCGUG